ACUAUAUCACUGUAGGCACAUGAU
RNAcentral lists this non-coding RNA (24 nucleotides) under Cricetulus griseus (Chinese hamster). Lineage: Eukaryota; Metazoa; Chordata; Mammalia; Rodentia; Cricetidae. The record is from RNAcentral.